AAGUAACUGAAAUGUGCGUGGCGGUAAGUUCAUUUUUUAACCGCAAACAUUUUAUAAGGGAUGUCGAAAGUCCAUUGAUGUCCGAUGUCAGGCCCCCCAAAGGUUUUGCCUUUCGGCCAGGGGAAGGCAGAUAGACAAGGCAGACAACCCACCUGCUCACGUAGCGGGUUCUAAAACUCUUGCCAAGACGGCAUUUCGGUGUUUUG
This 206-nucleotide non-coding RNA is filed under the name Clostridia bacterium. RNAcentral's name for it is "6S RNA". It matches the Rfam family "6S / SsrS RNA". From Rfam's summary of the family: E. coli 6S RNA was the first non coding RNA to be sequenced, but its function was unknown until recently. It consists of 184 nucleotides that fold into an extended hairpin structure with a large single-stranded internal bulge. The record is from RNAcentral. Lineage: Bacteria; Bacillati; Bacillota; Clostridia.